This 648-nucleotide ribosomal RNA is filed under the name Bacillus pumilus. RNAcentral's name for it is "bacterial SSU rRNA". It matches the Rfam family "Bacterial small subunit ribosomal RNA", at positions 78 to 711 of the family's 1533-position model. Lineage: Bacteria; Bacillati; Bacillota; Bacilli; Caryophanales; Bacillaceae. The record is from RNAcentral. RNAcentral also lists the same sequence under 1 other name.
GCUUGCUCCCGGAUGUUAGCGGCGGACGGGUGAGUAACACGUGGGUAACCUGCCUGUAAGACUGGGAUAACUCCGGGAAACCGGAGCUAAUACCGGAUAGUUCCUUGAACCGCAUGGUUCAAGGAUGAAAGACGGUUUCGGCUGUCACUUACAGAUGGACCCGCGGCGCAUUAGCUAGUUGGUGGGGUAAUGGCUCACCAAGGCGACGAUGCGUAGCCGACCUGAGAGGGUGAUCGGCCACACUGGGACUGAGACACGGCCCAGACUCCUACGGGAGGCAGCAGUAGGGAAUCUUCCGCAAUGGACGAAAGUCUGACGGAGCAACGCCGCGUGAGUGAUGAAGGUUUUCGGAUCGUAAAGCUCUGUUGUUAGGGAAGAACAAGUGCGAGAGUAACUGCUCGCACCUUGACGGUACCUAACCAGAAAGCCACGGCUAACUACGUGCCAGCAGCCGCGGUAAUACGUAGGUGGCAAGCGUUGUCCGGAAUUAUUGGGCGUAAAGGGCUCGCAGGCGGUUUCUUAAGUCUGAUGUGAAAGCCCCCGGCUCAACCGGGGAGGGUCAUUGGAAACUGGGAAACUUGAGUGCAGAAGAGGAGAGUGGAAUUCCACGUGUAGCGGUGAAAUGCGUAGAGAUGUGGAGGAACACCA